UGGGGAAUAUUGGACAAUGGGCGAAAGCCUGACCCAGCAACGCCGCGUGAAGGAUGAAGUAUUUCGGUAUGUAAACUUCGUAAGAAUAGGAAGAAUAAAUGACGGUACUAUUUGUAAGGUCCGGCUAACUACGUGCCAGCAGCCGCGGUAAUACGUAGGGACCAAGCGUUGUUCGGAUUUACUGGGCGUAAAGGGCGCGUAGGCGGUGUGUCAAGUCAGUUGUGAAAUCUCCGAGCUUAACUCGGAACGGUCAACUGAUACUGUCACACUAGAGUACAGAAGGGGCAAUCGGAAUUCUUGGUGUAGCGGUGAAAUGCGUAGAUAUCAAGAGGAACACCUGAGGCGAAGGCGGGUUGCUGGGCUGAUACUGACGCUGAGGCGCGAAAGCUAGGGUAGCAAACGGGAUUAGAUACCCUCGUAGUCCCUGAGCGGGCUGGCAAGGCG
This 444-nucleotide ribosomal RNA is filed under the name uncultured bacterium. Its description in RNAcentral is "bacterial SSU rRNA". It matches the Rfam family "Bacterial small subunit ribosomal RNA", at positions 355 to 822 of the family's 1533-position model. The record is from RNAcentral.